Molecule: ribosomal RNA, 465 nt
Filed under: Vreelandella stevensii
Lineage: Bacteria; Pseudomonadati; Pseudomonadota; Gammaproteobacteria; Oceanospirillales; Halomonadaceae
Description: partial 16S ribosomal RNA
Rfam family: Bacterial small subunit ribosomal RNA
Source: RNAcentral
CCUACGGGUGGCAGCAGUGGGGAAUAUUGGACAAUGGGCGAAAGCCUGAUCCAGCCAUGCCGCGUGUGUGAAGAAGGCCUUCGGGUUGUAAAGCACUUUCAGUGGGGAAGAAAGCCUUGGGGCUAAUACCCUCGAGGAAGGACAUCACCCACAGAAGAAGCACCGGCUAACUCCGUGCCAGCAGCCGCGGUAAUACGGAGGGUGCGAGCGUUAAUCGGAAUUACUGGGCGUAAAGCGCGCGUAGGCGGUCUGAUAAGCCGGUUGUGAAAGCCCCGGGCUCAACCUGGGAACGGCAUCCGGAACUGUCAGGCUAGAGUGCAGGAGAGGAAGGUAGAAUUCCCGGUGUAGCGGUGAAAUGCGUAGAGAUCGGGAGGAAUACCAGUGGCGAAGGCGGCCUUCUGGACUGACACUGACGCUGAGGUGCGAAAGCGUGGGUAGCAAACAGGAUUAGAUACCCUUGUCGUC